RNAcentral lists this ribosomal RNA (301 nucleotides) under uncultured bacterium. Its description in RNAcentral is "partial 16S ribosomal RNA". It matches the Rfam family "Bacterial small subunit ribosomal RNA", at positions 509 to 807 of the family's 1533-position model. The record is from RNAcentral.
CAGUAGCCGCGGUAAUACGUAGGUGGCAGGCGUUGUCCGGAAUUAUUGGGCGUAAAGGGCUCGCAGGCGGUUUCUUAAGUCUGAUGUGAAAGCCCCCGGCUCAACCGGGGAGGGUCAUUGGAAACUGGGAAACUUGAGUGCAGAAGAGGAGAGUGGAAUUCCACGUGUAGCGGUGAAAUGCGUAGAGAUGUGGAGGAACACCAGUGGCGAAGGCGACUCUCUGGUCCGUAACUGACGCUGAGGAGCGAAAGCGUGGGGAGCGAACAGGAUUAGAUACCCCUGUAGUCCCUGUCUCUUAUAC